AUUGAACGCUGGCGGCAGGCCUAACACAUGCAAGUCGAACGAGUGGCGGAAGGGUGAGUUAUGUCUGGGAAACUGCCCGAUGGAGGGGGAUAACUACUGGAAACGGUAGCUAAUACCGCAUACCAUCGGAUGAGCCCCGAUGGGAGUAGCUAGUGGGUGGGGUAACGGCUCACCGAGGCGACGAUCCCUAGAUGGGCUGAGAGGAUGACCAGCCACACUGGAACUGAGACACGGUCCAGAAGCCUACGGGAGGCAGCAGGGGGGAAUAUUGGACAAUGGGCGCAAGCCUGAUGCAGCCAUGCCGCGUGUAUGAAGAAGGCCUUCGGGUUGUAAAGUACUUUCAGCGGGGAGGCGUUACCAGCAGAAGAAGCACCGGCUAACUCCGUGCCAGCAGCCGCGGUAAUUC
RNAcentral lists this ribosomal RNA (406 nucleotides) under uncultured bacterium. RNAcentral describes it as "partial 16S ribosomal RNA". It matches the Rfam family "Bacterial small subunit ribosomal RNA", at positions 29 to 526 of the family's 1533-position model. The record is from RNAcentral.